AGAUGAUACAAUCUAAGGCGAUAUUGUACCCAAGAAAAAGGUUUGGUCACCUUCCAGGUAUUGCUGUUGGACAUCGGUUUUUUUCAAGAGCUGAAAUGUGUGCUGUUGGCUUCCAUAACCAUUGGCUAAAUGGCAUCGAUUACAUGGGAGUUGA
This is a non-coding RNA of Camelina sativa (false flax), 154 nucleotides long. The record is from RefSeq and is a predicted model, not a curated record. NCBI's taxonomy places the organism in Eukaryota, Viridiplantae, Streptophyta, Magnoliopsida, Brassicales, Brassicaceae.